GGUCCUGUGGCCCAACGGAUAAGGCGCUUGACUACGAAUCAAGAGAUUCCAGGUUCGAAUCCUGGCAGGAUCG
Molecule: transfer RNA, 73 nt
Filed under: Clytia hemisphaerica
Lineage: Eukaryota; Metazoa; Cnidaria; Hydrozoa; Leptothecata; Clytiidae
Description: tRNA-Arg for anticodon ACG
Rfam family: tRNA
About the family: Transfer RNA (tRNA) molecules are approximately 80 nucleotides in length. Their secondary structure includes four short double-helical elements and three loops (D, anti-codon, and T loops).
Source: Rfam by way of RNAcentral